ACUCCUACGGGAGGCAGCAGUGGGGAAUAUUGCACAAUGGGCGCAAGCCUGAUGCAGCCAUGCCGCGUGUGUGAAGAAGGCCUUCGGGUUGUAAAGCACUUUCAGUCGUGAGGAAGGUGAGUGUUAAGUUAAUAGCUGCAUUAUUUUGACGUUAGCGACAGAAGAAGCACCGGCUAACUCCGUGCCAGCAGCCGCGGUAAUACGGAGGGUGCGAGCGUUAAUCGGAAUUACUGGGCGUAAAGCGCAUGCAGGUGGUUUGUUAAGUCAGAUGUGAAAGCCCGGGGCUCAACCUCGG
RNAcentral lists this ribosomal RNA (295 nucleotides) under uncultured bacterium. RNAcentral's name for it is "partial 16S ribosomal RNA". It matches the Rfam family "Bacterial small subunit ribosomal RNA", at positions 335 to 618 of the family's 1533-position model. The record is from RNAcentral.